GCACCAGUGAGUGACAUUACUGUUAGUGAUGACAGCUCUGAAUGACUAGGCUUGCAGGAAUUCUGGUGCAGGUUGCCUUUGUCUGAGAUUUUUUGCUUUUGCCCAGUAUGACUUUCUGCAUCUAAAGAUCAUUAAGGUCAUUUGACCUUCGGUGGUUUUUGACAUAUGCACCUGUAUAUCUGGAUAUUUGCACACACACCCCAUUUCCCUUGGUAGUAGCCUAGUUUUUUUGUCAUUCUGGAGGACUGUGUGGGUGACAACUCAGUGUACCUCCCUGUCCCCUGUUCCCGAGUUUCCUCUUGUGGGGAAGCACCUUGUGUGCUGGCAGCUACAGGCGGAAGCUUGAGAGUUGUGCUGACUCCUUUCCUCGGCAGACCUCCCGUACUAACAGCAGGUGCUGGCCACUCUUCUUGUCCCUGGGGCUCAGAGGAGUUAGUUCCAGGUCUGGGUAGAGCUGGGCUGUGCUACUCUGGCAGAUGGCUCCCCCCAUCCUGUCACCUUGGAAACUCCAAUGUUGUCUUACGGUUGGUUGUUUACUCUUCAUUACAAAAAAAAAAAAAAAAA
Molecule: long non-coding RNA, 564 nt
Filed under: Rattus norvegicus (Norway rat)
Lineage: Eukaryota; Metazoa; Chordata; Mammalia; Rodentia; Muridae
Description: long non-coding RNA NONRATT013302
Source: RNAcentral